CCGAAUGGGGAAACCCAGUGCAAUUCGUUGCACUAUCGUUAACUGAAUACAUAGGUUAACGAGGCGAACCGGGGGAACUGAAACAUCUAAGUACCCCGAGGAAAAGAAAUCAACCGAGAUUCCCCCAGUAGCGGCGAGCGAACGGGGAGCAGCCCAGAGUCUGAAUCAGCUUGUGUGUUAGUGGAACGGUCUGGAAAGUCCGACGGUACAGGGUGAUAGUCCCGUACACCAAAAUGCACAGGUUGUGAACUCGAAGAGUAGGGCGGGACACGUGGUAUCCUGUCUGAAUAU
RNAcentral lists this ribosomal RNA (291 nucleotides) under Pseudomonas aeruginosa. Its description in RNAcentral is "partial 23S ribosomal RNA". It matches the Rfam family "Bacterial large subunit ribosomal RNA", at positions 114 to 445 of the family's 2925-position model. Lineage: Bacteria; Pseudomonadati; Pseudomonadota; Gammaproteobacteria; Pseudomonadales; Pseudomonadaceae. The record is from RNAcentral.